GUCUUUUUGAGUUAUUUUUAAAGUCUGACCUGCCCACUGAUUAAUAUUAAAUGGCCGCAGUAUUUUAACUGUGCAAAGGUAGCAUAAUCAUUAGUCUUUUAAUUGAAGGCUGGUAUGAACGGUUGGACGAAAUAUAUACUGUUUCAUAUAAAAUUGAGUUAAAAUUUUAUUUUUUAGUUAAAAAGCUAAAAUUUUAUUAAAAGACGAGAAGACCCUAUAAAUCUUUAUAUUUAUAUUUAUAUAAAUUUUUUUGAUUUAUUUUAUUUUUAUAUUUUAAAAUAUUUUGUUGGGGUGAUAUUAAAAUUUAAAAAACUUUUAAUUAUGAUUAAAUCAUUAAUUUAUGAAUAAUUGAUCCUUUAUUAAUGAUUAUAAGAUUAAGUUACUUUAGGGAUAACAGCGUAAUUUUUUUUGAGAGUUCAUAUCGAUAAAAAAGUUUGCGACCUCGAUGUUGGAUUAAGAUAUAUUUUUAGGUGUAGUCGCUUAAAUAUUAAGUCUGUUCGACUUUUAAAUUCUU
Molecule: ribosomal RNA, 514 nt
Filed under: Perilampsis woodi
Lineage: Eukaryota; Metazoa; Arthropoda; Insecta; Diptera; Tephritidae
Description: partial 16S ribosomal RNA
Rfam family: Bacterial large subunit ribosomal RNA (bases 390-514)
Source: RNAcentral